AUUGAACGCUGGCGGCAUGCCUUACACAUGCAAGUCGAACGGCAGCACGGACUUCGGUCUGGUGGCGAGUGGCGAACGGGUGAGUAAUGUAUCGGAACGUACCAUUGAGUGGGGGAUAACGUAGCGAGAGUUACGCUAAUACCGCAUACGAUCUAUGGAUGAAAGCGGGGGAUCGCAAGACCUCGCGCGAUUGGAGCGGCCGAUAUCAGAUUAGGUAGUUGGGGGGGUAAAGGCUCACCAAUCCGACGAUCUGUAGCUGGUCUGAGAGGCCGACCAGCCACACUGGGACUGAGACACGGCCCAGACUCCUACGGGAGGCAGCAGUGGGGAAUUUUGGACAAUGGGCGAAAGCCUGAUCCAGCCAUGCCGCGUGCAGGAUGAAGGCCUUCGGGUUGUAAACUGCUUUUGUACGGAACGAAAAGGUUUGGCCUAAUAAGCUGAGCUCAUGACGGUACCGUAAGAAUAAGCACCGGCUAACUACGUGCCAGCAGCCGCAGUAA
This 500-nucleotide ribosomal RNA is filed under the name uncultured bacterium. RNAcentral describes it as "partial 16S ribosomal RNA". It matches the Rfam family "Bacterial small subunit ribosomal RNA", at positions 30 to 523 of the family's 1533-position model. The record is from RNAcentral.